UACGUAGGGCGCAAGCGUUGUCCGGAUUUAUUGGGCGUAAAGAGCUCGUAGGCGGUUUGUCACGUCGGUUGUGAAAACCCACGGCUUAACCGUGGGCUUGCAGCCGAUACGGGCAGACUAGAGGCAUGCAGGGGAGAAUGGAAUUCCUGGUGUAGCGGUGAAAUGCGCAGAUAUCAGGAGGAACACCGGUGGCGAAGGCGGUUCUCUGGGCAUGUCCUGACGCUGAGGAGCGAAAGCGUGGGGAG
This 245-nucleotide ribosomal RNA is filed under the name uncultured bacterium. RNAcentral's name for it is "partial 16S ribosomal RNA". It matches the Rfam family "Bacterial small subunit ribosomal RNA", at positions 524 to 768 of the family's 1533-position model. The record is from RNAcentral.